Molecule: long non-coding RNA, 500 nt
Organism: Anguilla rostrata (American eel)
Lineage: Eukaryota; Metazoa; Chordata; Actinopteri; Anguilliformes; Anguillidae
Exons: 3
Source: RefSeq, a predicted model, not a curated record
ACUUACGUUACACGAGAGCCGGUAAUCUGUCAAGUGAGGAUGAAGAGCAGAACAAUGGCCACCAAUAUGCAGGAUAUAGUCACCAUCAUCUUCAGACCCUCAUUGCUUGGCAGGCUCUCCAGGCUCUCUUCUCCAGACUUGGGCAAUGGUGGAAUGGUGCCUGGAAAAUUGAUACGUGGAGCAGAAGGUUAAGAGAAUUGGCACAGUGGGACUCACAAUAUGAGACAGCUACAUGUAAUGGGUAUCCAGGACAGAGUGAUUGACAUGGGGGUUGUCUUGGUCACCGUGAGACGUGGCUGGUCAGGUGGAACUAGAGGCAAAAAGAGAAUUAUGGACAGAGCGGUGCACAGCCAUCAUGAUCCACAUAUUCAAAUCCAUGUGUGUUAAACCUAUAACCAAUAUGGUAGUGUUUCCUUAUUUCUUUCAUUCUCAAGAAAGGAAUAUUCAUAUUCAUAGACCAUACUGUACCAAAUAAAUGGGUAAAGAAAUUCAGUUCCUUU